CCUACGGGUGGCAGCAGUGAGGAAUAUUGGUCAAUGGACGAGAGUCUGAACCAGCCAAGUAGCGUGAAGGAUGACUGCCCUAUGGGUUGUAAACUUCUUUUAUAUGGGAAUAAAAUGUUCCACGUGUGGGAUUUUGUAUGUACCAUAUGAAUAAGGAUCGGCUAACUCCGUGCCAGCAGCCGCGGUAAUACGGAGGAUCCGAGCGUUAUCCGGAUUUAUUGGGUUUAAAGGGAGCGUAGGUGGAUUGUUAAGUCAGUUGUGAAAGUUUGCGGCUCAACCGUAAAAUUGCAGUUGAAACUGGCAGUCUUGAGUACAGUAGAGGUAGGCGGAAUGCGGGGUGUAGCGGUGAAAUGCUUAGAUAUCACGAAGAACUCCGAUUGCGAAGGCAGUUCACUGGACUGCAACUGACACUGAGGCUCGAAAGUGUGGGUAUCAAACAGGAUUAGAUACCCUAGUAGUC
RNAcentral lists this ribosomal RNA (460 nucleotides) under uncultured bacterium. RNAcentral describes it as "partial 16S ribosomal RNA". It matches the Rfam family "Bacterial small subunit ribosomal RNA", at positions 338 to 795 of the family's 1533-position model. The record is from RNAcentral.